This 207-nucleotide long non-coding RNA is filed under the name Phascolarctos cinereus (koala). RNAcentral's name for it is "DAOA antisense RNA 1 conserved region 2 (ENSPCIG00000011230.2)". It matches the Rfam family "DAOA antisense RNA 1 conserved region 2". Lineage: Eukaryota; Metazoa; Chordata; Mammalia; Diprotodontia; Phascolarctidae. The record is from RNAcentral.
CUAUAACAGAGGAGUCAGAAAAGCACAAUUCUCCCAGCCACAAAGUAUUUCUUCCUCUAAGGCAAUAUUUUCCAAUUAUGACUUUCUGUCAUCGUCACUUCUUUCUAAAUCUGCACUGAUCAAGCACUUAACCAUGUUACUUUCUCAUUGAGUUAUUGGAAGAGUUGAGACCUCACACAAGGAGGAUAAUUCUAGAAAGACAUAAGA